AGCGGAGGAAAAGAAAAUAACAAUGAUUCCUCUAGUAACUGCGAGUGANGAGGGAAAAGCUCAAAUUUUAAAUCUGUUAGGUUUACCUAACCGAGUUGUAAUUUGAAGAAGCGUUUUCUGCGAUUUUGGUUAGUCCAAAUCCUUUGGAAUAAGGUAUCAUGGAGGGUGAGAAUCCCGUUCGGUUAACCAAAGCGCUUUACGAUACGCUUUCAAAGAGUCAAGUUGUUUGGGAUUGCAGCUUAAAAUGGGAGGUAAAUUUCUCCUAAGGCUAAAUAUUGGCGAGAGACCGAUAGCGAACAAGUACCGUGAGGGAAAGAUGAAAAGAACUUUGAAAAGAGAGUUAAACAGUACGUGAAAUUGUUGAAAGGGAAACGAUUAAAGUCAGUCGUACCUACGAGUAAUCAACCUACUCGAGUGCGAUUUUGUGGGUAUGUUAGAGUUUAAACCUUCAUGCUUACAAAUUGGUGCUCUUUGGGCGUACUUUCUCGUAUGGUAGGUUAACAUCAAUUUCGAUCGUUAUAAAAUGACUGGAGGAAUGUAGCUUCGACCUCGGUUGAAGUGUUAUAGCCUUUGGUAGAUGUAAUGAUUGGGAUUGAGGAUUGCAACGGAUACCCUCUGGGCUAUUCGUCUGAUCUCUGGAAGUUACCUUGGUGUCGAAAGCGUGCUUACGAUAUUAAGGUUGACGGCCAAUAGGUUAGAACGUGAUUAAAUUCGUAAGGAUGUUGACGUAAUGNCNUUAAACGACCCGUCU
This 751-nucleotide ribosomal RNA is filed under the name Glomeromycotina sp. OTU3 DJMC-2012. RNAcentral describes it as "eukaryotic LSU rRNA". It matches the Rfam family "Eukaryotic large subunit ribosomal RNA", at positions 49 to 654 of the family's 3401-position model. Lineage: Eukaryota; Fungi; Glomeromycota. The record is from RNAcentral.